RNAcentral lists this transfer RNA (73 nucleotides) under Bos taurus (domestic cattle). It matches the Rfam family "tRNA". Rfam says of the family: Transfer RNA (tRNA) molecules are approximately 80 nucleotides in length. Their secondary structure includes four short double-helical elements and three loops (D, anti-codon, and T loops). RNAcentral also lists the same sequence under 4 other names. Lineage: Eukaryota; Metazoa; Chordata; Mammalia; Artiodactyla; Bovidae. The record is from Rfam by way of RNAcentral.
UUCGUGGUGGUCCAGUGGCUAGGACUCUGCACUCCCAGUGCAGGGGACCUGGGUUCAAUCCCUGGUCAUGGAA